GUCAAGGGAAGAGGGUCGGAGCAGGUGAAGGUGAAGGUCAUGGAGAUGUCAUGUGGAAACUAGUUGGACUGGCUUAUUGGAAGCGCAAGGGCUGGGCCUGUCUGGCUAUGAAGCAAUGCCCUUUCCUCGACUCACACUGAGUUCUGGGCCCAAGGGCAGAGCUGACUGUCAGGGCUGACCAAAGAAGGAGAGCUUUAAGAUCAUUUCUGCACACAGCAGGAGUGUUUAAGGUUGGCAAGAUCCAGAGAGCCAGUCCUGAGAUCAUCUGGUGAAAGGAAACGAGGCAUGGAGGUUUCCCAGAGAAAGAACCCAGGACGA
Molecule: long non-coding RNA, 318 nt
Organism: Lutra lutra (Eurasian river otter)
Lineage: Eukaryota; Metazoa; Chordata; Mammalia; Carnivora; Mustelidae
Exons: 3
Source: RefSeq, a predicted model, not a curated record